Molecule: ribosomal RNA, 460 nt
Filed under: uncultured bacterium
Lineage: Bacteria
Description: partial 16S ribosomal RNA
Rfam family: Bacterial small subunit ribosomal RNA
Source: RNAcentral
CCUACGGGAGGCUGCAGUGAGGAAUAUUGGUCAAUGGACGAGAGUCUGAACCAGCCCAGUAGCGUGAAGGAUGACUGCCCUAUGGGUUGUAAACUUCUUUUAUAUGGGAAUAAAACAGGGUAUGCAUACCCUCUUGUAUGUACCAUAUGAAUAAGGAUCGGCUAACUCCGUGCCAGCAGCCGCGGUAAUACGGAGGAUCCGAGCGUUAUCCGGAUUUAUUGGGUUUAAAGGGAGCGUAGGUGGAUUGUUAAGUCAGUUGUGAAAGUUUGCGGCUCAACCGUAAAAUUGCAGUUGAAACUGGCAGUCGUGAGUACAGUAGAGGUGAGCGGAAUUCGUGGUGUAGCGGUGAAAUGCUUAGAUAUCACGAAGAACUCCGAGUGCGAAGGCAGCUCACUGGACUGCAACUGACACUGAUGCUCGAAAGUGUGGGUAUCAAACAGGAUUAGAUACCCGGGUAGUC